Molecule: ribosomal RNA, 253 nt
Filed under: uncultured bacterium
Lineage: Bacteria
Description: partial 16S ribosomal RNA
Rfam family: Bacterial small subunit ribosomal RNA
Source: RNAcentral
UACGUAGGGUGCGAGCGGUAAUCGGAAUUACUGGGCGUAAAGCGUGCGCAGGCGGUUAUGUAAGACAGAGGUGAAAUCCCCGGGCUCAACCUGGGAACUGCCUUUGUGACUGCUUGACUAGAGUACGGCAGAGGGGGAUGGAAUUCCGCGUGUAGCAGUGAAAUGCGUAGAUAUGCGGAGGAACACCGAUGGCGAAGGCAAUCCCCUGGGCCUGUACUGACGCUCAUGCACGAAAGCGUGGGGAGCAAAUAGG